RNAcentral lists this ribosomal RNA (1554 nucleotides) under metagenome. Its description in RNAcentral is "bacterial SSU rRNA". It matches the Rfam family "Bacterial small subunit ribosomal RNA". The record is from RNAcentral.
AGGGUUUGAUCCUGGCUCAGAGUGAACGCUGGCGGCGUGGAUAAGGCAUGCAAGUCGAGCGAUCUUUAUUAUUGAAGCAUAUUGAAGUCCUUCGGGUCUGAUGUGUGUGGAUUUAGUCGAGAUAGCGGCAAACGGGUGAGUAACGCGUGGGUAACCUACCCUGAGAAGGGGGAUAGCUUCGAGAAAUCGGAGAUAAUACCCCAUAAGCCCUUAGAUUUCAAGAUUUAAGGGGAAAGGUGGCCUCUAUUUAUAAGCUACCAUCUUAGGAGGGGCCCGCGUCCUAUCAGGUUGUUGGUGGGGUAAUAGCCUACCAAGCCUAAGACGGGUAGCUGGCGUAAGAGCGUGGUCAGCCACAUCGGGACUGAGACACUGCCCGGACUCCUACGGGAGGCUGCAGUCGAGAAUCUUUCACAAUGGACGAAAGUCUGAUGAUGCGACGCCGCGUGGGGGAUGAAGGCCUUCGGGUCGUAAACUCCUUUUGUAGAUGAUGAAUGCCGGUGUAUUGAAUAAGUAUAUCGGAGUGACUAUUCUACGAAUAAGCCACGGCUAACUCCGUGCCAGCAGCCGCGGUAAUACGGAGGUGGCAAGCGUUACUCGGUUUGACUGGGUGUAAAGGGUCCGUAGGCGGUUAAGUAUGUGUAAAGUGAAAUCUUCUAGCUCAACUAGAAAACUGCUUUUCAAACUGCUUAACUAGAGGAUAGAAGAGGAGAGCAGAACUGCUGGUGUAAGGGUGAAAUCUGUGGAUAUCAGCAGGAAUGCCCGUGACGAAGGUGGCUCUCUGGUCUAUACCUGACGCUGAGGGACGAAAGCUAGGGGAGCGAACAGGAUUAGAUACCCUGGUAGUCCUAGCUGUAAACGAUCUCCGCUAGGUAUUUGCCCUUUUAGGGUGGGUGCCGUAGCUAACGCGUUAAGCGGAGCACCUGGGGACUACGGCCGCAAGGCUAAAACUCAAAGGAAUUGACGGGGGCCCGCACAAGCGGUGGAACACGUGGUUUAAUUCGAUGCUACGCGAGGAACCUUACCAGGGUUUGACAUGCUAGGAUGUAGUUCCUUGGAAACAGGGAGCGACCGUAUCCAUCCGGAGCCUAGUACAGGUGCUGCAUGGCUGUCGUCAGCUCGUGCCGUGAGGUGUUCCCUUAAGUGGGGUAACGAGCGCAACCCUCGCCUUUAGUUGCAACUUCACAUCGGCUUGCCGAAGUGAAGGCACUCUAAAGGGACUGCCUACGUUAAGUAGGAGGAAGGCGGGGAUGACGUCAAGUCCGCAUGGCCCUUAUGUCCUGGGCUACACACGUGUUACAAUGGCGUGUACAACGAGAAGCAAGACGGUAACGUGGAGCAAAUCUUGAAAGCACGCCUCAGUUCGGAUUGAGGGCUGCAACCCGCCCUCAUGAAGCUGGAAUCGCUAGUAAUGACGCAUCAGCCACGGCGCCGUGAAUACGUUCCCGGGCCUUGUACACACCGCCCGUCAAGCGCUGAAAGUGGGGGGUACCCAAAGCUCCGACUCGUUCGGAAUCAAGGUAAAUUUCGUGAUUGGCGCUAAGUCGGAACAAGGUA